GUGAAAAAAUGCUAACAAACCCGCAUCUUAUCACCUUUAUCUACAGAAGAGAGGAUCGAUGAAGAGGAAUCGACCAUGCGACUUACGCCAUUAUUCUAGCACACGCUUGAUAUUUAAUAUCAUUAUAGAGAUAUGUCUGGUCGGAUUUAAAAAAAAUCUUGAAAACUGGUCUCCUGGUAGCUGUUAGAUUUCAUUUUGUUUUUUUAGUUCCUGUUUAUUCUCUUUCCUGUUUCUUUUUUGGUUACUGUAGGGUUACCUUUUUCAGAUAUGAGGUCUCCAAAGUUCAUAUUCUUAAGACAUUCUUAUCGCUGGAUGUCAGUUUUCUACGUGUUCCAAGGGAAAUAUGAGACAUAUCACGUGAGGCAAUACCUAAGAAUU
Aedes aegypti (yellow fever mosquito) is the source of this 378-nucleotide long non-coding RNA. RefSeq lists it as uncharacterized. The transcript is spliced from 2 exons. Lineage: Eukaryota; Metazoa; Arthropoda; Insecta; Diptera; Culicidae. The record is from RefSeq and is a predicted model, not a curated record.